AUAAAUUCUAUGAAAAAGAGAGUAGAUAUAAAUUAAGUUUCAGCGAGCUAGAGUUGGUGUGAGUCUAGUAAUAAUGUUUAUAUUGAAGAGAGCUUUGGAGAAUAAUACCUGAAUUAGUAGUAUGGUAUUAGGAAUAUCUCGCCUUAAGAGAACUGAGUGGAUAAGUAUAACUUAUCAAUUAGAGUGGUAACACGGAAAUUUUCGUCUCUUGG
This 212-nucleotide non-coding RNA is filed under the name Clostridium collagenovorans. Its description in RNAcentral is "T-box sequence". It matches the Rfam family "T-box leader". From Rfam's summary of the family: Uncharged tRNA acts as the effector for transcription antitermination of genes in the T-box leader family. Lineage: Bacteria; Bacillati; Bacillota; Clostridia; Eubacteriales; Clostridiaceae. The record is from RNAcentral.